AACUCAAAUGAAUUGACGGGGGCCCGCACAAGCGGAGGAACAUGUGGUUUAAUUCGAUGAUACGCGAGGAACCUUACCUGGGCUUAAAUGGGGAGUGACAGCUGUCGAAAGAUGGUUUUCUUCGGACACUCUUCAAGGUGCUGCAUGGUUGUCGUCAGCUCGUGCCGCGAGGUGUCGGGUUAAGUCCCAUAACGAGCGCAACCCUUACCGUUAGUUACCAUCAGGUUAAGCUGGGGACUCUAGCGGGACUGCCACCGUAAGGUGAGAGGAAGGUGGGGAUGACGUCAAAUCAGCACGGCCCUUAUGUCCAGGGCUACACACGUGUUACAAUGGCCGGUACAAAGGGCAGCUACUUCGCGAGAAGAUGCUAAUCUCGAAAGCCGGUCUCAGUUCGGAUCGAAGUCUGCAACCCGACUUCGUGAAGCUGGAUUCGCUAGUAAUCGCGCAUCAGCCAUGGCGCGGUGAAUACGUUCCCGGGCCUU
This 482-nucleotide ribosomal RNA is filed under the name uncultured Sphingobacteriales bacterium. RNAcentral describes it as "bacterial SSU rRNA". It matches the Rfam family "Bacterial small subunit ribosomal RNA", at positions 898 to 1382 of the family's 1533-position model. The record is from RNAcentral. Lineage: Bacteria; Pseudomonadati; Bacteroidota; Sphingobacteriia; Sphingobacteriales.